Molecule: Y RNA, 98 nt
Organism: Callithrix jacchus (white-tufted-ear marmoset)
Lineage: Eukaryota; Metazoa; Chordata; Mammalia; Primates; Cebidae
Rfam family: Y RNA
About the family: Y RNAs are components of the Ro ribonucleoprotein particle (Ro RNP), in association with Ro60 and La proteins.
Source: Ensembl
GGCUGGUCCGAUGGUAGUGGGUAUCAGAACUUAUUACCAGUGUCACUAAAGUUGGUGUACAGCCCCCACCCCCAACUGCUAAAUUUGACUGGCUAAAA